CCUACGGGAGGCAGCAGUGGGGAAUAUUGCACAAUGGGGGAAACCCUGAUGCAGCGACGCCGCGUGAGUGAAGAAGGAAUUCGGUAUGUAAAGCUCUAUCAGCAGGGAAGAAAAUGACGGUACCUGAGGAAGAAGCCCCGGCGAACGACGGGCCAGCAGCCGCGGUAAGACGUAGGGGGCAAGCGUUAUCCGGAUUUACGGGGUGUAAAGGGAGCGUAGACGGCAGUGCAAGUCUGGAGUGAAAGGCGGGGGCUCAACCCCCGUACUGCUCUGGAAACUGGACGGCUGGAGUGCAGGAGAGGUAAGUGGAAUUCCUAGUGUAGCGGUGAAAUGCGUAGAUAUUAGGAGGAACACCAGUGGCGCAGGCGGCUUCCUGGACUGUAACUGACGUUGCGGCUCGAACGCGUGGGGAGCAAACAGGAUUAGAUACCCUAGUAGUC
This 440-nucleotide ribosomal RNA is filed under the name uncultured bacterium. RNAcentral's name for it is "partial 16S ribosomal RNA". It matches the Rfam family "Bacterial small subunit ribosomal RNA", at positions 338 to 795 of the family's 1533-position model. The record is from RNAcentral.